RNAcentral lists this transfer RNA (73 nucleotides) under Verdigellas peltata. RNAcentral's name for it is "tRNA-Arg". It matches the Rfam family "tRNA". From Rfam's summary of the family: Transfer RNA (tRNA) molecules are approximately 80 nucleotides in length. Their secondary structure includes four short double-helical elements and three loops (D, anti-codon, and T loops). The record is from RNAcentral. Lineage: Eukaryota; Viridiplantae; Prasinodermophyta; Palmophyllophyceae; Palmophyllales; Palmophyllaceae. RNAcentral also lists the same sequence under 1 other name.
GGGCAUAUAGCUCAGUGGAUAGAGCACGUGGCUACGAACUACGGUGUCGGGGGUUCAAAUCCCUCUUUGCCCG